RNAcentral lists this unclassified non-coding RNA (645 nucleotides) under uncultured Prochlorococcus sp. RNAcentral's name for it is "partial 16S-23S ribosomal RNA intergenic spacer; may also contain 16S ribosomal RNA and 23S ribosomal RNA". The stretch from base 304 to 376 matches the Rfam family "tRNA". The record is from RNAcentral. Lineage: Bacteria; Bacillati; Cyanobacteriota; Cyanophyceae; Synechococcales; Prochlorococcaceae.
UUGUGGAGGAGGACGCCGAAGGCGGGGCUAAUGACUGGGGUGAAGUCGUAACAAGGUAGCCGUACCGGAAGGUGCGGCUGGAUCACCUCCUAACAGGGAGACAACAAAAUGUUAAAUAUUAAUUUUGUCACCUUAGGUCGAUCGGUAUCUCACAUUCUUAAUUUAUUAAGGAUUUUAUUUCCUAAGUUUUUUCUAGGUCACACCCAUUACUUUUCCUGGGCCAUUAGCUCAGGUGGUUAGAGCGCACCCCUGAUAAGGGUGAGGUCCCUGGUUCAAGUCCAGGAUGGCCCAUAUCUCUAUGUUGGGGGUAUAGCUCAGUUGGUAGAGCGCCUGCUUUGCAAGCAGGAUGUCAGCGGUUCGAGUCCGCUUACCUCCACUGAUCACCACCUCUUCCAUAAUUUAUAGAAGGGAAUUGUUUUGAGUAGUGAUCAAAUUCUGAAAGAAUCUAGCUUCCUAAUCAUUUUUAUUAAGAUGCUGGACUCAUUGAAUUAAUUUCAUUGUUUUCAGAGAACCUUGACAACUGCAUAGAUUAUUUUUAAAGACAAUAAGCAUCUUUAAUGAUGCAGAUUUUUAUUUUUGCAAAUGCAUUAAUAACAAUUCUAUUAAGCUGAUGCUUCAAUUUUGUAGUUAUUGGUCAAGCUACAA